UUAUUGCAUGAAAAGAGGGAGGUUGCACUCCCCUUGACAAGGACGGAAGUGACCUGCAACACACAGAGUUAAGGCCCUUCAGCACAUCUCUAACCAUGUCUUCUU
Molecule: small nuclear RNA, 105 nt
Organism: Electrophorus electricus (electric eel)
Lineage: Eukaryota; Metazoa; Chordata; Actinopteri; Gymnotiformes; Gymnotidae
Source: Ensembl